Molecule: ribosomal RNA, 834 nt
Filed under: uncultured bacterium
Lineage: Bacteria
Description: bacterial SSU rRNA
Rfam family: Bacterial small subunit ribosomal RNA
Source: RNAcentral
AGAGUUUGAUCCUGGCUCAGAACGAACGUUAACGGCGCGCCUAAUACAUGCAAGUCGUGCGAGAAAGGGCUUCGGCCCCGGUAAAGCGGCGCACGGGUGAGUAACACGUAGGUGAUCUCCCCUCGAGUGGUGGAUAACCCUCCGAAAGGAGGACUAAUACAGCGUGAGACCACAGCUCUUCGGAGCUGCGGCCAAAGCAGGCCACUGCAUGCAAGCUUGUGCUCGAGGAUGAGCCUGCGGCCCAUCAGCUAGUUGGUAAGGUAACGGCCUACCAAGGCUAAGGCGGGUAGCUGGUCUGAGAGGAUGAACAGCCACACUGGAACUGAGACACGGUCCAGACUCCUACGGGAGGCAGCAGUAGGGAAUCUUGCCCAAUGGGCGAAAGCCUGAGGCAGCGACGCCGCGUGAGCGAUGAAGGCCUUCGGGUUGUAAAGCUCUGUGGGGAGGGACGAAUAAGGUUUGGCUAAUAUCCAAGCCGAUGACGGUACCUCCUUAGCAAGCACCGGCUAACUCUGUGCCAGCAGCCGCGGUAAGACAGAGGGUGCAAACGUUGUUCGGAAUUACUGGGCGUAAAGCGCGUGUAGGCGGCUACGUAAGUCGGGCGUGAAAUCCCACGGCUCAACUGUGGAAGUGCACUCGAAACUGUGUAGCUAGAGUCCUGGAGAGGAAGGUGGAAUACUUGGUGUAGAGGUGAAAUUCGUAGAUAUCAAGUGGAACACCAGUGGCGAAGGCGGCCUUCUGGACAGUGACUGACGCUGAGACGCGAAAGCGUGGGGAGCAAACAGGAUUAGAUACCCUGGUAGUCCACGCCGUAUACGAUGAGUGCUAGGUGUC